CAUGCUUUUGACGGGUAACGGGGAAUUAGGGUUCGACUCCGGAGAGGGAGCCUGAGAAACGGCUACCACAUCCAAGGAAGGCAGCAGGCGCGCAAAUUACCCAAUCCCAACAUGGGGAGGUAGUGACAAGAAAUACUGAUAUAGGGUCCUAUAGGAUCUUGUAAUUGGAAUGAGUACAAUUUAAACCCAUUAACGAGGAACAACUAGAGGGCAAGUCUGGUGCCAGCAGCCGCGGUAAUUCCAGCUCUAGUAGCAUACAUUAAAAUUGUUGCAGUUAAAACGCCCGUAGUUGAAGCUUAGGUCCUUAUCAUCUAGUCUGCCUCACCGCUAGCACUGGUAUGAUUGGGCCUUUUUUCUUGGUAAACUGUUAUGCCCUUUAUUGGGUGUGGCAGUGAACUAGGACUUUUACUUUGAAAAAAUUAGAGUGUUUAAAGCAGGCUUUUGCUCGAAUACCUUAGCAUGGAAUAAUGGAAUAUGACGAGUGGUUGUUUUUCAUUGGUUUUCACGACUACCGUAAUGAUUGAUAGGGAUGGUCGGGGGCAUCGGUAUUCGAUCGUCAGAGGUGA
Molecule: ribosomal RNA, 566 nt
Filed under: Gloeandromyces pageanus f. polymorphus
Lineage: Eukaryota; Fungi; Ascomycota; Laboulbeniomycetes; Laboulbeniales; Laboulbeniaceae
Description: SSU rRNA
Rfam family: Eukaryotic small subunit ribosomal RNA
Source: RNAcentral